AAGACCAAAGAUUGGUCUAUCAUGCAAAGCUCCUCUUCACCAACAAAUCUGGUGGCCUUCUUUGGAAAGAGGGUGUUGGCGAUGCAUUGGUGGAGGUGUCUAAUCACGGGAUUAUGGAUUGAAGAACUCUUGCUCUUGGUUGGCGAGAAGGGCUUCGGACCGGCUAUUGUAUUCCAAAGAGAUUUCAGCUCUUCUUAAUCAUAGUCUUGGCGGAUUCCUUCUCCACUUGGAAACCCAAAAAUGGAAUCAAGAUGGCGAAUAUCAAGAGUAUACUCGACAUCCCUAACUUUGAAAGUUAUGUAACCAAGACCUCCUAUCUCCUCUUUCUCCGAAUCAUCAACACAAAAAUGAACCUUGAGGGUUGCAAGGAGUUGGCAGCUCUCCUAUUUGUAUCCCCCACAUUGGCAGCUCAUGAAUGUUGCAAGAUUGGCCAAUUCCAUCAAGUAUUCCAUAUCACCACAAAUACCAAGCUCUUGCAUCGUUUCCUUAUGAGGGUAUCUAGUUCCCUCAAACUUCAACUCCUUCAAGUAUUGAUAGUACUCGCUCAGGAUUGGCUCUCUCUUCCUCCUUGGCCGGUUUCUUCUCCCAACAGGGGUUGGUGUAUCAUCCCCGAUGAUCUCAACCUCUUCCUCAGAAACCGCUUCUUCAAAGGGUGCCUCUUCAUGGUGUUGUUCUUCAGCUUCAACGACCCUCUUUCCCCGAGCUACUUCUUCUCUUUGCAUGGUUGAGCGGCUUGAGCUUCCUCCUUGAAUCGAGCUUGAUCUUUUAGCACGGCGAGCAUGGCGAAUUUGGCGUUCAGUCAUGCCACUCAUGUCAAAAGCCUCAACUUCUUCAUUAUCAGCAGAGGAUCUUCUUGCCCGAGAUGAACUCUUCCUUCUUGAAUCCAUGGAGAUUGGUGGUGAGCUUCGACAGGGCAAACAAGAACAAUUCUCCAAGAGGUAUCAAAAAAGAAAGGAAUCGGUUUCUUUGGUGAUGUAAUUUUUAGCUUGAAACCGAUUGAAUGUUUGAGGAAAGACUUAGGAGUGGUCGAGUAACUUUGGUGAAGUAUUGGUGAAGGGGAACGGAUUCUUAAAGAGUGAUAGGGAGCGUUUUGGGGAAGGGUUUGGAAUGAAGACUUCAAAGCUUUGUGAGGGGGUUGCGAAAACGAGAUGAUGAAAGAGAGAGUUUCAUGGAGGGUUUGUCGAAAUCAAUGGGUGGAGGAGAUUGGUCUUUGGUUUGCUUUGGAAGAGAUAGAAAAGUUGAUUGGAAAUGGUGAUGGGCAUGGGUAAAUGGUUUGUCCGUUGAAUAAUGAAGUGAAGGGGAACAAGUGGGACAUGCGACACCACUUCUUGGUCUCCAAAUAAUUCAAGCUCAAGUAAAGGAUCGAGCAUCUUCUUUAGUUGCGCAAAAUUUGAUCCAACGGUGGAGAGCUUCUCAUUCUUGUUUACUCGAUCAAACGGACCAAAAUAAACUUCAGGAAGUCACUCGCUCAAACGGUGGUGAUGCACCUCUCAUUUGAUCAUCCAAAUCAAUGGCUAAAAAUACUCCUCCUCAUUCUACUCGAUCAACGGUUGAGAUCUUUUUUGACUUGGUUUGAAUUUACUCGACUGUUGACUCUCUUAGGGUCACUAAAACAAACUUGAAACACUUAAAGAAAAACAUCAAAAAUAACAAGAAAAAUAGAAAAUUAUAUACAUGGAUAGACAUGGGACUUCCUCCCAAGUGAGCUUGUUUUAAGUCACUAAGCUUGACUCUUACAGAGCUUAGUCAGAAAAAAGGUUGAAGCGACGAUCAGAGAAGUCCUCAUCUUCAGUGGUUGAAUUUUCAGUGCUUGAAUCAUACUCUCCAUCCUCUCUUGAGAUAUGGUAGGAUGAGUACUCAUUUGAUUUUUCUUCAAAGUAAGCGUCUUUUUGAUCAGUAGAGUAGUCUUCUUCUUCUGAACCAGGCUCCCUUGACCAAUCCUCAAAUUCAAAACUGGGGUAGCCUUUAACCAUUUCUUGAAGUUCCAAGAUUGCAUGGUUCAGUCCUUCCAUCUUGUAAGUUAGCUCCCCAAUGGUAUCCUCUUGAGCUUUGUAUCCAACCGAGAGUUCCAGAAGUUCUUCAGCAACAGAAUCAUGAAUCAAGUGUUCUUCUUCAACAGAGGGGUUGGUGGGAUGUUUAGGCACUCCUCGAGAAUAAGUCGGAAUAGGAGUUUCCUCCUCACUCAACAACUUGCUCUCUCGGCUUCUUUCCUCUAAGUGAACUCCUUUCUGAUCUUCUGGUGCAAACCAUUUGAUAUAACCCGAUUUUCACCGAUUUUAUCUAUGUUUUAGGUAUAGGAUUUUGAGUCUUUAUGUUAUUUCUCGAAUCUUUUUAGUGUCUUUUCAGGUAUUCUAUGCAAUGGGACAACAAUGGAGAUAAGGAGACAUUUUGGAGCAAAAGCUAAAGAAAAGGAAGCGAAGGACGAUUUUGGUUCAGGAAUCAGCGAGGAGUGUCGACCGACACACUCUUGCUGUCGAUCGACACCAGUUUUGGCCCAACAAGAACCCUAGACGCUUUCGAGUUUACAGAAGCUCAAGUUUGCCCCAAAAGAUUUUCCUAUUUGCAUUAUUAGUCUAUGGACGUUUUUAGGGUCUAUAUAUAUUGUUUUUAGACCUAAGUUUCUUUUAUCAAGUCUUUUAUCAAGUUCUUUGCAAACCCUAUUGUAAGAGACAUAAGUUAUUCAUCCAUUGUUUUUCAGAGUUUCAUUCAGAUCUAUAUACAGUGAAGAGAUCCUUUCUUUCUCCUUCUCUAUUUACUGUGUUUAUGCUUUCACCCUCAAAUAUGUUGUUUGUUUCAUCCAAUAUGUCUGAGUAAUCUGCUUGUUAGGAAUAGGGUUUCUCAUUAGGGAUUCAUAUGGUUUAGUAGAUUGCCCCCUUUGCUAGGUUAUCUGUAGAAUUCUUCAUCUUUAAUUAUGCCUAAUGCUAGAUCUAGAGUAAUUAA
RNAcentral lists this small RNA (2940 nucleotides) under Arabidopsis thaliana (thale cress). Its description in RNAcentral is "ATSL159470". Lineage: Eukaryota; Viridiplantae; Streptophyta; Magnoliopsida; Brassicales; Brassicaceae. The record is from RNAcentral.